RNAcentral lists this ribosomal RNA (460 nucleotides) under uncultured bacterium. Its description in RNAcentral is "partial 16S ribosomal RNA". It matches the Rfam family "Bacterial small subunit ribosomal RNA", at positions 338 to 795 of the family's 1533-position model. The record is from RNAcentral.
CCUACGGGAGGCAGCAGUGAGGAAUAUUGGUCAAUGGACGAGAGUCUGAACCAGCCAAGUAGCGUGAGGGAUGACUGCCCUGUGGGUUGUAAACUUCUUUUAUCAAGGAAUAAAACGAGGCAAGUGUGCCUUUUUGCAUGUACUUUAUGAAUAAGGAUCGGCUAACUCCGUGCCAGGAGCCGCGGUAAUACGGAGGAUCCGAGCGUUAUCCGGAUUUAUUGGGUUUAAAGGGAGCGUAGAUGGGUUGUUAAGUCAGUUGUGAAAGUUUGCGGCUCAACCGUAAAAUUGCAAUUGAUACUGGCAGUCUUGAGUACAGGUGAGGUAGGCGGAAUGUGUGGUGUAGCGGUGAAAUGCAUAGAUAUCACGCAGAACACCGAUUGCGAAGGCAUCUCACGAAUCCGCGAUUGACGCUGAUGCACGAAAGCGUGGGUAUCAAACAGGAGUAGAUACCCUAGUAGUC